RNAcentral lists this unclassified non-coding RNA (1161 nucleotides) under Hevea brasiliensis (rubber tree). The record is from RNAcentral. Lineage: Eukaryota; Viridiplantae; Streptophyta; Magnoliopsida; Malpighiales; Euphorbiaceae.
UUCAGACUUUAUUUUAAUUUUGUCUGGAAAUGCAGUGCAUGUAUACUGACACAUUGUUCAAGUUUGAUGGUAUUUUACACAAUCUGUGACUUGUUCUCCUCUUCCAUCCUACAUCCAUCGCCCUGCUAGCAAUUGCCAGAUUCAAGGGUCACAUAAGCGUUACCGUGUUUUCAGUUCCAUUUUGACUGGAUCACUGAAAACGAUUUAUGAGAACCAGAAUCUUUAAUUUAAUAAAAACACUACCAUGUCCAAAGAGAGUUUAAAAUCCCACGCUAACUAAAGUCUAAACAAACAAAGCAGAGCCUGGCAUUGUUGUACAAAGGUCCCAACAAAAAGUCCAUGUAAAGUUUCAUUAUCAUUUCCAUUUGUUGGCUGGUGUUCACUCAUUGAGCAGCCUAGUUAACGACCAAAAUAACCGCUUGAAUAUUGACCACCACAUCAAAUAGUAGGAGACAUCUGAACAUGGAAGAUGCAAGAAUCUCCUUGCAAAACUUUAAAACUUUAAAAUAAAACAUCCACAAAAAAUAUUUAGUCCUCACGCCACAUCCUUGAGCACUUCUCAUUCAAGCAAAAGUAAAAUGUUGUUGCUGGCUCAUCAGCUGACCGGAUCUGUAGCUGUUGGUAACGGGCCCUUCCAAAGUUGCAAUGUGGGCAUGUUGCUUCAGUUUCAGAACCCCCCUUCGUCAUGUCGUCGAGGGUGAAAACUGGCUCAAUUUCUUUCUUGACCAGCUGUUGCUUUCUCUUGAUCUUAACCUGAAAAUAAAGGAGAACGGCCAUGAGCAUUCCUUCAAUCCCCAACUCCCCAAGAAAAAAAAAAUUAAUUAAAUAUAAGAAAAGGAUUGGCUAAUUGAUAUAUGUCAAUACUCAAUACCCUGCUCUCCAUGGAGCAGACGUACGGACAAGUAGGGCAAUAGAAUCUGGAAGGCUGCCCCAUGUUUGGCAACUCGUAUCGCAACAAUAAUCCACACGAUGGGCAAAAUUCCAUUCCUUUCUCAAAUCUACCUCUGCAUCAAUCCACACAAAAAUUUAUUGGUCUGUAUAAAAGAUAAUCAUCAAUUAAGUGAAAUCAUGGUUACAGGGGUACAAAAAUAGCAAUUUUUCCCCAGAUAAAGUCCAGGCCAAAUCGUUUAAUCAGAUCGACAGAGAAAACCUCAACCUGAG